CGGAUUAGAUACCCGGGGAGACAGCAGAAUGAAGGUCAAGCUGAAGACUUUACCAGACAAGCUGAGAGGAGGUGCAUGGCCGUCGCCAGCUCGUGCCGUGAGGUGUCCUGUUAAGUCAGGUAACGAGCGAGAUCCCUGCCCUUAGUUGCUGCAGUUACUCUCAGGAGUAGCUGGGCUAACUAAGGGGACCGCCACUGCUGAAGUGGAGGAAGGAGGGGGCCACGGCAGGUCAGUAUGCCCCGAAACCCUGGGGCUACACGCGGGCUGCAAUGAUAGAGACAACGGGUUCCGAACUCGAAAGAGGGAGGCAAUCCUUAAACUCUAUCUCAGUUAUGAUUGAGGGCUGCAACUCGCCCUCAUGAAUAUGGAAUCCCUAGUAACCGCGCGUCAUAACCGCGCAGUGAAUACGUCCCUGCUCCUUGCACACACCGCCCGUCGCUUCAUUGAAGUUGGGUUUGUGCGAGGUGACGCCUAAUUGACGUCAUCGAACACGAGUUUAGCAACAAGGGAGAAGUCGUAACAAG
RNAcentral lists this ribosomal RNA (524 nucleotides) under uncultured bacterium. Its description in RNAcentral is "bacterial SSU rRNA". It matches the Rfam family "Archaeal small subunit ribosomal RNA", at positions 919 to 1442 of the family's 1478-position model. The record is from RNAcentral.